GGCGGCGUGCCUAAUACAUGCAAGUAGAACGCUGAAGAGAGGAGCUUGCUCUUCUUGGAUGAGUUGCGAACGGGUGAGUAACGCGUAGGUAACCUGCCUUGUAGCGGGGGAUAACUAUUGGAAACGAUAGCUAAUACCGCAUAACAAUGGAUGACCCAUGUCAUUUAUUUGAAAGGGGCAAAUGCUCCACUACAAGAUGGACCUGCGUUGUAUUAGCUAGUAGGUGAGGUAACGGCUCACCUAGGCGACGAUACAUAGCCGACCUGAGAGGGUGAUCGGCCACACUGGGACUGAGACACGGCCCAGACUCCUACGGGAGGCAGCAGUAGGGAAUCUUCGGCAAUGGGGGCAACCCUGACCGAGCAACGCCGCGUGAGUGAAGAAGGUUUUCGGAUCGUAAAGCUCUGUUGUAAGUCAAGAACGAGUGUGAGAGUGGAAAGUUCACACUGUGACGGUAGCUUACCAGAAAGGGACGGCUAACUACGUGCCAGCAGCCGCGGUAAUACGUAGGUCCCGAGCGUUGUCCGGAUUUAUUGGGCGUAAAGCGAGCGCAGGCGGUUUGAUAAGUCUGAAGUUAAAGGCUGUGGCUCAACCAUAGUUCGCUUUGGAAACUGUCAAACUUGAGUGCAGAAGGGGAGAGUGGAAUUCCAUGUGUAGCGGUGAAAUGCGUAGAUAUAUGGAGGAACACCGGUGGCGAAAGCGGCUCUCUGGUCUGUAACUGACGCUGAGGUUCGAAAGCGUGGGGAGCGAACAGGAUUAGAUACCCUGGUAGUCCACGCCGUAAACGAUGAGUGCUAGGUGUUGGAUCCUUUCCGGGAUUCAGUGCCGCAGCUAACGCAUUAAGCACUCCGCCUGGGGAGUACGACCGCAAGGUUGAAACUCAAAGGAAUUGACGGGGGCCCGCACAAGCGGUGGAGCAUGUGGUUUAAUUCGAAGCAACGCGAAGAACCUUACCAGGUCUUGACAUCCCGAUGCUAUUUCUAGAGAUAGAAAGUUACUUCGGUACAUCGGUGACAGGUGGUGCAUGGUUGUCGUCAGCUCGUGUCGUGAGAUGUUGGGUUAAGUCCCGCAACGAGCGCAACCCCUAUUGUUAGUUGCCAUCAUUCAGUUGGGCACUCUAGCGAGACUGCCGGUAAUAAACCGGAGGAAGGUGGGGAUGACGUCAAAUCAUCAUGCCCCUUAUGACCUGGGCUACACACGUGCUACAAUGGUUGGUACAACGAGUUGCGAGUCGGUGACGGCAAGCUAAUCUCUUAAAGCCAAUCUCAGUUCGGAUUGUAGGCUGCAACUCGCCUACAUGAAGUCGGAAUCGCUAGUAAUCGCGGAUCAGCACGCCGCGGUGAAUACGUUCCCGGGCCUUGUACACACCGCCCGUCACACCACGAGAGUUUGUAACACCCGAAGUCGGUGAGGUAACCUUUUGGAGCCAGCCGCCUAAGGUGGGAUAGAUGAUUGGGGUG
RNAcentral lists this ribosomal RNA (1460 nucleotides) under uncultured organism. RNAcentral's name for it is "16S ribosomal RNA". It matches the Rfam family "Bacterial small subunit ribosomal RNA". The record is from RNAcentral.